AUCCAACUGACGAGUCCCUAAGCAGGACGAAACGCGAGUCCUGGAU
This 46-nucleotide non-coding RNA is filed under the name Schistosoma margrebowiei. Lineage: Eukaryota; Metazoa; Platyhelminthes; Trematoda; Strigeidida; Schistosomatidae. The record is from RNAcentral.